GACAGAGGGUGCAAACGUUGUUCGGAAUUACUGGGCGUAAAGCGCGUGUAGGCUGCUCGGAAAGUCGGAUGUGAAAGCCCUGGGCUCAACCCAGGAAGUGCACUCGAAACUUCCGAGCUGGAGUCCUGGAGAGGAAGGCGGAAUUCUCGGUGUAGAGGUGAAAUUCGUAGAUAUCGAGAGGAACACCGGCGGCGAAGGCGGCCUUCUGGACAGUGACUGACGCUGAGACGCGAAAGCGUGGGGAGCAAACAGG
This 253-nucleotide ribosomal RNA is filed under the name uncultured bacterium. Its description in RNAcentral is "partial 16S ribosomal RNA". It matches the Rfam family "Bacterial small subunit ribosomal RNA", at positions 524 to 776 of the family's 1533-position model. The record is from RNAcentral.